RNAcentral lists this signal recognition particle RNA (96 nucleotides) under Akkermansia sp. Its description in RNAcentral is "signal recognition particle sRNA small type". It matches the Rfam family "Bacterial small signal recognition particle RNA". Rfam says of the family: The signal recognition particle (SRP) is a universally conserved ribonucleoprotein involved in the co-translational targeting of proteins to membranes. Archaeal SRP consists of a 7S RNA and homologues of the eukaryotic SRP19 and SRP54 proteins. In most bacteria, the SRP consists of a 4.5S RNA and the Ffh protein (a homologue of the eukaryotic SRP54 protein). The record is from RNAcentral. Lineage: Bacteria; Pseudomonadati; Verrucomicrobiota; Verrucomicrobiia; Verrucomicrobiales; Akkermansiaceae.
GCUGAGAGAGCGUGGAGCUACGACUGGCAAACCCCGCCAGGACCGAGAGGUAGCAACGGUAGCUUGUUCGUAGUUGUCGCGUAAACUCUCAGUGGU